CAGCGUCACGAGUGGCAAUCAGAUUUAUUGGGUCUAAAGCGUCCGUAGCCGGUUUGAUAAGUCUUUUGUGAAAUUGUCGUGCUUAACAUGACAAUGUGCAAGAGAUACUGUCAAACUUGGAACUGGGAGGGGUUAGAGGUAUUCCUUGGGGAGCGGUAAAAUGCUAUAAUCCUUGGAGGACCACCUGUGGCGAAAGCGUCUAACCAGAACAGCUUCGACGGUGAGGGACGAAAGCUAGGGGAGCAAACCGGAUUAGAUACCCGUGUAGUCC
RNAcentral lists this ribosomal RNA (271 nucleotides) under uncultured archaeon. RNAcentral describes it as "partial 16S ribosomal RNA". It matches the Rfam family "Archaeal small subunit ribosomal RNA", at positions 477 to 747 of the family's 1478-position model. The record is from RNAcentral.